Molecule: long non-coding RNA, 489 nt
Organism: Biomphalaria glabrata
Lineage: Eukaryota; Metazoa; Mollusca; Gastropoda; Planorbidae
Exons: 3
Source: RefSeq, a predicted model, not a curated record
UGUUGGUGUAGGUUAGUGUAAAUGUCUGUGUGUGUGUUGUUGUAGGUUAGUGUAAAUGUCUGUGUGUGUGUUGGUGUAGGUUAGUGUAAAUGUCUGUGUGUGUAUGUUGGUGUAGGUUAGUGUAAAUGUCUGUGUGUGUGUUGGUGUAGGUUAGUGUAAAUGUCUGUGUGUAUGUUGGUGUAGGUUAGUGUAAAUGUCUGUGUGUGUAUGUUGGUGUAGGUUAGUGUAAAUGUCUGUGUGUGUAUGUUGGUGUAGGUUAGUGUAAAUGUCUGUGUGUAGUUUGGUGUAGGUUAGUGUAAAUGUCUGUGUGUAUGUUGGUGUAGGUUAGUGUAAAUGUCUGUGUGUGUAUGUUGGUGUAGGUUAGUGUAAAUGUCUGUGUGUGUAUGUUGGUGUAGGUUAGUGUAAAUGUCUGUGUGUGUGUUGGUGUAGGUUAGUGUAAAUGUCUGUGUGUAUGUUGGUGUAGGUUAGUGUAAAUGUCUGUGUAUGUUG